RNAcentral lists this microRNA precursor (103 nucleotides) under Marmota monax (woodchuck). The record is from RNAcentral. Lineage: Eukaryota; Metazoa; Chordata; Mammalia; Rodentia; Sciuridae.
GGUACAAUUGCUAAGUCUAAUGGUAAGUGCGUAUUAAACUUUAUAAGACUCUGCCAAAUUAUUUUCCAGAGUAGCUGUUCCAUUUUACAUUCCCAUCAGCAAU